CCCCACUGCUAUCGGGAUGGGACUAAGACAUGCUAGUUGAGCGCCUUCCAGCCAUGUGGGAGGCGCAGCGUACAGCUCAGUAACACGUGGCUAACCUGCCCUUAGGAUGGGAACAACCCCGGGAAACUGGGGCUAAUUCCCGAUAGGUGAAGAACUCUGGAAUGAGUCUUCGCCCAAAAGGUGUCGGAUCAUGCUCUCGGCAUCGCCUAAGGAUGGGGCCGCGACCGAUCAGGUUGUUGGUGAGGUAAUGGCCCACCAAGCCUAUAACCGGUGCGGGCCGUGAGAGCGGGAGCCCGGAGAUGGGCACUGAGACAAGGGCCCAGGUCCUACGGGGCGCAGCAGUCGCGAAAACUUUGCAAUACACGAAAGUGUGACAGGGUCAUCCCGAGUGCCGACCGCUGAGGUUGGCUUUUACCCAGUCUAGAAAGCUGGGGGAAUAAGGAGAGGGCAAGUCUGGUGUCAGCCGCCGCGGUAAUACCAGCUCUCCGAGUGGUGUGGACGUUUAUUGGGCCUAAAGCAUCCGUAGCUGGCCGAACAAGUCCCCUGUUAAACCCACCGAUUUAAUCGUUGGUCUGCGGGGGAUACUGCUCGGCUAGGGGACGAGAGAGGCAGACGGUAUUCCCGGGGUAGGGGUGAAAUCCUAUAAUCCCGAGAAGACCACCAGUGGCGAAGGCUGUCUGUUAGAACGCGCCCGACGGUGAGGGAUGAAAGCUGGGGGAGCGAACCGGAUUAGAUACCCGGGUAGUCCCAGCUGUAAACGAUGCAGACUAGGUGUUUGGACGGCCACGUGCCGUUCUAGUGCCGCAGGGAAGCUGUUAAGUCUGCCGCCUGGGGAGUACGAUCGCAAGGUUGAAACUUAAAGGAAUUGGCGGGGGAGCACCACAAGGGNUGAAGCUUGCGGUUU
RNAcentral lists this ribosomal RNA (904 nucleotides) under uncultured archaeon. Its description in RNAcentral is "bacterial SSU rRNA". It matches the Rfam family "Archaeal small subunit ribosomal RNA", at positions 21 to 903 of the family's 1478-position model. The record is from RNAcentral.